RNAcentral lists this transfer-messenger RNA (346 nucleotides) under Lachnospiraceae. RNAcentral describes it as "Copromonas sp900541255 Standard tmRNA". It matches the Rfam family "transfer-messenger RNA". Rfam says of the family: Bacterial tmRNA, also known as 10Sa RNA or SsrA, is named for its dual tRNA and mRNA-like properties. The record is from RNAcentral. RNAcentral also lists the same sequence under 2 other names. Lineage: Bacteria; Bacillati; Bacillota; Clostridia; Lachnospirales.
GGGGUUGUACUGGUUUCGACGGGGGCUAUGAAGCUGGUGAAGCUAUCCGCAUGCGAUGCGUUAAAUGGCAAAUCUAAAUAUAAACGCUAACGAUAGAGAAUUAGCAUACGCUGCCUAAUUAAGGCGGCUGUCGGCCUUAGGGCACUCACACUUUAAGAUCCCGGCAUCAUUUUUGUGAGAAACGACACGCGCAAAGCUUUGAGCGCGCGGGCGUAUUAUGAAGCUACUGAAUGAAUUUGGGUGUCUGUUCCCGGAUUCAGGAGGGAAUGAAUAACAGCAGACUAUGAUAGUAGAAGAACAGGGGAUUGGUUUUCGGACAGGGGUUCGAUUCCCCUCAGCUCCACUC